Molecule: ribosomal RNA, 255 nt
Filed under: uncultured bacterium
Lineage: Bacteria
Description: partial 16S ribosomal RNA
Rfam family: Bacterial small subunit ribosomal RNA
Source: RNAcentral
UACGGGGGGAGCAAGCGUUGUUCGGAUUUACUGGGCGUAAAGGGCGCGUAGGCGGUCGUGACAAGUCACUUGUGAAAUCUCCGGGCUUAACUCGGAACGGUCAAGUGAUACUGUCGGACUAGAGUACAGAAGGGGCAACUGGAAUUCUCGGUGUAGCGGUGAAAUGCGUAGAUAUCGGGAGGAACACCAGUGGCGAAGGCGGCUUCCUGGCCUGUUCUUGACGCUGAGGCGCGAAAGCUGAGGGGAGCAAACGGG